AGAAAAAUGGACACUUAGUUAACAGCCUUUUCAAAAACAUGAAUUCAAGAUAUUACUGUUUAAUUGCUUCAAUUCAAUAUUCUCUUGACUACAUCAUUACACAUGGACACUAGUCAAUCUUCAAUUUGACAGAAUCCUCAAAUAUCUUGGGUAUGGCACUGAUGCAUAAUCCUUUGGUCCUUGUCCAAGUACUGGUUUAGGUAUAACUUAUCAAGAAUGCCUGGAAUCUAAACAGCCAAGUUUAGAGCUUAAACAGAGCCUCCUUCCUCAAUGUCCUUCACUGCCAACUAGCCAGAGCACCCCCCAGCUGCUGGGGGGCUCUGAGAAGACCACUUUCUUUGGUGUAUUUUAUUACAGGCUAAACAACACCCCUAAACAACAACAGAAACUCUCUGAGGUUUCCCAAUGCCUUCAAGUGGCUCUGGGAAGGCAUUGGAAGGCUUUGGAUGAAAUUACAGGCUAAGCUGCUUUAGCAAAAAGACACACAAAAUACAGAAGAUUAAACUAUGCAGGGAGUCUGGGAGAAAAGUUAAAGAGAGGAAACUGGUCAACAAUUGUCAACCUUAUCUUCUCUUCAAUUAUCUUUCCUAAAUUCCGGUAUGAUUUUGGUUGCUUGAACAAUCAGCGUGGUCUGAUGAGAGCUUAUCAGCUGCGAGUAGCAGGAGAAAGAAGUGAAGAUAAUUAUUUCCCACUUGGAGCUGAAUAAAGUGAAGCUAAACCACUAAAUGCAGCUCCCUAAACACACACACACACACACACACACACACACACACACACACAGAGCAAUACACAAACUCAAAGCUUGAUAAUUUUAGUCUGGCUAUUGAUAUUUCAAAAUUGCAUGGGAGAAAAUUGUUAUGAGUUGAAUUCCAGUUGGUUUCAAAGGCAUUUCUAAAUUUGUGCUUUUAUACCUGCAGUCAUUACCUCACGUUUCUGAACGUCUUCUACAGAGCCUAUGCCAGGCGCUGCUGGCUACAUACACAGGUCACUAACAACAAAGCAAGGUGGGAUACAUUAAAUAGCCAAUGGGAUGGGAGAGGAGGAGAUGGGACUUUAUCCGCAUUUUAAAGAAAAUAUACAAUGCCAAGGAGGGGCAAGCAGUCCCUGCAAGGGGAGCGGCAUGAACGUGGGGAGCAGGGGAAAAGACGGGCCUGGCAUGAAUCUGGCACACUCAGAGAGCAAUGAGUUUGUGUAGCGCAGCGGAUUCAGGUAUAGGAGUAAUAACGGCCCCUGUGAGGCGGUAAAUGGACUCUAAAUUUCGGUUGAGCAUCAAUGCCGACUUAAAGGAUUCGCACAUCUUGAAGGCAUUGGGAAACCUCGAAGGGUUUCUGUUGUUGUUUAGGGGUGUGGUUUGGUUGGGGAGAGAAGGAAAUGUGAUAUAUACAAGACGCUGCUUUGGGAUGAGUCAUCUGACCGUGGUGUACAAUGGAUCAGAAUGGAGAGAGAGUGGGAGUGUUCGGAUUGUUGCGGAGGCAGGGUGAGGAGCUGGGAGCCUGCGCUAAGGCUACCCAUGACCUACAGGCUGUGCGAGCCACGCUGUUUCCCAUCUUGUCUCCGUUCAUCUUCCUCGUGCCCUAUGAAGUCGGUAUCCGGCUCCAUCUUACAGACCAGGAAACUAAGAGCAGGCAAGGUCCAAGGCCACAUAACAGGUGCAAAAAGACAGACUGGAGGGAGAUGUAUGCCAGGACCCCUGACCGGCCCUCUUAGCUUGCUGGAGGGGCUGGGUGCAGCUCACUGACCUGGCCUUCACCAUCUGCUGCCUGCUUGGCUGUGGAGCCACUGAUGCCCACGUGUAGAGGGCACAGACCUAGACAGAAAUUGCUCAUUGAAAUGAGUAAUGCUAGAAAAAUUCACUUGAACAUGGAGAACGGUAAUAAAUAUCUAACUCUA
This 1890-nucleotide long non-coding RNA is filed under the name Homo sapiens (human). RNAcentral's name for it is "HSALNT0353862". Lineage: Eukaryota; Metazoa; Chordata; Mammalia; Primates; Hominidae. The record is from RNAcentral.